AUUGAACGCUGGCGGCAUGCUUUACACAUGCAAGUCGAACGGCAGCACGGGGGCAACCCUGGUGGCGAGUGGCGAACGGGUGAGUAAUAUAUCGGAACGUACCCGGAAAUGGGGGAUAACGUAGCGAAAGUUACGCUAAUACCGCAUAUGCCCUAAGGGGGAAAGCGGGGGAUUCGCAAGAACCUCGCGUUUUCGGAGCGGCCGAUAUCGGAUUAGCUAGUAGGUGAGGUAAAGGCUCACCUAGGCGACGAUCCGUAGCUGGUCUGAGAGGACGACCAGCCACACUGGAACUGAGACACGGUCCAGACUCCUACGGGAGGCAGCAGUGGGGAAUUUUGGACAAUGGGCGCAAGCCUGAUCCAGCCAUGCCGCGUGAGUGAAGAAGGCC
RNAcentral lists this ribosomal RNA (388 nucleotides) under uncultured bacterium. Its description in RNAcentral is "bacterial SSU rRNA". It matches the Rfam family "Bacterial small subunit ribosomal RNA", at positions 30 to 416 of the family's 1533-position model. The record is from RNAcentral.